AUGAGCACCUCCGAGAUCCCCACCGCCAUUGCCGACAUGGUCGUUGACUUCACCGAGCCGCUCCUAGCCGCCAUCCUCCUCUCCGCCGAGAACUGCUCUGGUAAAAAGCUACUCCUCUUGUUCAAGUCUGCCGGGAAGAACAACCCUGAUGUCAAGAGCCUUGCCAAUCUUGACAUCGUCGCGAGCAAGGUUGCUGAUUCAGCUGAGAUUGACGAGAUGGACGCGUACAUGCUCUGGGAUUUGGUGAAGGAAAUGGGCAGUGUGCCAGGAUCAUUGAGCACCCCACUGCUGAACAAAGUGCUAGCAAUAUUCUGGAAGCUCGAGAAAUCGAAGGCGGCGCUAGAGGUGCUUGACAAGUUCAGUGAGUUUGGCUGUACUCCGGACGGUGACAGCUAUUAUCUGGCGAUUCAAGCGGCUGGAAAGAAGUCCAUGGUUGGUGCUGCAUGGGGAGUUUGCGAGAAGAUGAUUAGCUCCGGGUGCUUCCCUGAUGGGAAGAAGACCGGUGAGAUUGUGUCCUUCUUUUGCCAGGGGAAGAAGGUAACAGAGGCACAUUCAGUAUACCUAGCAGCGAAGGAGAAGAAGGUUCAGAUUCCUACAUCAUCCUUGGAUUUCCUUGUUGGUGCUUUGGCGAAGAAUGACGAGACCAUCAGUACCGCUCUGGAGCUGCUGGUUGAAUACAAAGGAGAGUCUCUUAAGCAUGCAGGCAAGUCCUUUGCUGCCGUUAUACAUAGUUUGUGCAGGAUGAAGAAUGUGAAGGAUGCAAAGAAGCUGUUGAUGAGGAUGGUGAAUCUUGGCCCAGCUCCUGGUAGUGCAGUGUUCAACUUUGUCAUCACAGGAUUGUCUAAAGAGGGAGAAAUGGAGGACGCAAAGGGUUUGAUAAGAGUGAUGGAAAGCCGAGGGCUGCGCCCUGAUGUUUAUACAUACAGUGUGAUCAUGAGUGGCUACAUAAAGGGAGGCAUGAUUGAUGAAGCUCAUUCUCUACUUCGCGAAGCUAAGAAGAUCCAUGCAAAACCAAGCAGGGUUACUUAUCACAUACUGAUCCGUGGUUACUGCAAGAUGGAGGAGUUCGAGAAGGCCCUGGAGUGCCUAAAGGAGAUGAAGGAGGACGGGUUGCAGCCAAAUAUGGAUGAGUAUAGCGAACUCAUCCAGUCGUUGUGUCUGAAGUCUAUGGACUGGAGAACAGCUGAGAAGCUCCUGGAGGAAAUGGAGGGCAGUGGAUUAUGCCUUAAGGGCAUUAUCCGCAGCCUCAUACCAGCAGUCAAGGAGUUGGAAACGGAAGAGGCGUCAAAAGACAGCCAAGAAGCA
Molecule: ribosomal RNA, 1305 nt
Filed under: Triticum aestivum (bread wheat)
Lineage: Eukaryota; Viridiplantae; Streptophyta; Magnoliopsida; Poales; Poaceae
Description: partial small subunit ribosomal RNA
Source: RNAcentral